Long non-coding RNA from Malania oleifera, 519 nucleotides. RefSeq lists it as uncharacterized. NCBI's taxonomy places the organism in Eukaryota, Viridiplantae, Streptophyta, Magnoliopsida, Santalales, Ximeniaceae. The record is from RefSeq and is a predicted model, not a curated record. The transcript is spliced from 2 exons.
AUGGGCCAAUUUUUAUGUUUACAUUUUGUUGCACGAUCAAAUGCCGGAAGUAAGUUUGUUUUCUCAUUCUAUUCCACGAUUCGUUGCUCUGGGAAUUUUUAUUUACGUUACAUUUUGGUGCACGACCAAAUGCCCGAAAUUGCAACGUAGCCUAUUCGGCCACCUGGUUGGAGCGUUGUGCUAUUAACGCAAAGGUUGAAGCCCUGCGGGUUCAGGAUCUGCAUGGACCGGAACUCUCUGGCUCGUGGUGUCGUCAUUUACCAGAAUACGUGCAAAGGUGUUUGACGAAAUGCCUGAAAGGAGUUCUCAUUCCUUCCCGAGUAUAUUCAGUGCGCAUGGCCGGUGGUGGUGACUGUUGAGUGCAAAUGUGCGAUUCUUCGCGAGUGCGAAUGGGCGAUUCUUUUCAUCAGGCUUUUCUUAUCGACGGGAAAUGUAAAAUGGCCGCAACCAUUUCUUGUUGGGAAAAGAUUAUUGAACAGCUUAUUUGACCCAUCCUAAAUGAAUUCUCAUUGCAUUAAA